This is a non-coding RNA of Aedes albopictus (Asian tiger mosquito), 72 nucleotides long. NCBI's taxonomy places the organism in Eukaryota, Metazoa, Arthropoda, Insecta, Diptera, Culicidae. The record is from Rfam.
GGCUCGGUAGCUUAGUUUGUAAAGCACUCGUCUAGCGAAUAAGGGUCGUGAGUUCAAAUCUCACCUGAGCUG